AUGCAUCUUCCUACUCACACCCCUACUGAAACCAUUCAACCUUAUUUCCCACUGCUCCCUGUCUCUACCUUAGUCAGUGACAUCAUCCCCAGAACACGCCACAGGAAUCUGUUCCUCCAUGACUGCUCUUGUAUGCCUCCCUGCCUAAAGGACGCUUUCAGCUAUCUCUACUUCUCUCUUCCUAUCCAGUUCUGCACACUUUGCUAUGGAAAUUCAACACCCUGCCUUUUAGAAGUAUCCUGCAGUUUGAAUGAAGCCCUGAGGCACAGAGAGAUCACUCAGCUAUUAAGUAGUAGAAUCAGGAUUCAGUCCAAGACAGCAGACUCCAGAGCCCACACUGCUAAAUACAGGAACCCUGGAGCCAACAGCCUGGCUUCAAAUCCUAACUUCAUCUACAGUACUUGGAUUAGUGCCUGACUCAGGACAGAGUCUCAGUUGCCUAGACUGGAGUGCAGUAUCACGACCUCGGCUCACUGCAACAUCCUGGGUUCAAGUGAUUCUCCUGCCUCAGCCUCCUGAGUAACUGGGACUACAGGCGUGCACCACUACGCCUGGCUAAUUUUUGUAUUUUUAUUAUAGAUGGGGUUUCACCAUGUUGGCCUACAUAGAAUUUAGAGAGUAUUAUUUGCUAUCAUUCCAUACCUUCUUGCAGUUUUUCCAAGUGGGUAAUUGACAUUCUUCAUUGCUAUAUUCAGUUGUAAUUUUUCCUGCUAUGUAAUAUUUCUGUGGAAGAAUAUAUCUAUAUCACAAUUUAGGUGUCAUUCUCCUGUAAACAGACAUUUGGAUUGUUCCUAGUUUUAUUUUUUAUGUACUUGUUUUUGCUUUUGUACACAAUGCUUCUAUGACUGUAAUGAAAGCAUAAUACUGAAUAAAUAACUUUAAUAAAGCUCAAAAACAAGAAAAACUUUGUCAUAUCUUGUUAGGGGAUAUAUAUAUUUAAAUAAAACUAGUUUUUAAUGUAAGAGAAUGUCAAACAUAAAAUUCAUGAGAAUGAAACAUGAAAGAAGCAUACUGCCUAAACAACAUUUGUAAUAACUCUUUCAAAAUAUUUACAGAAGGUUCCAGAAGGUUUAUUUUUAAAAUUAUGCUUCAUAACUUAAGUAAUAUUUGGUACAUAUAAAAUGUUAAAUAUUUUCAAAAUUAGGAGACACAUUAUUACAUCUGUUUUUCAAGCCAGCCCUGUGUGUCAGGCUGAAUAGAUAUAAUUGCCCUUGCUUUACAGAUGCUGGAGGUGAGAUAUAGGUCAUUUAUCCAAGGCCUAAUUGCUGCUAAAUCUUGGAGAAGGGCUAGAAACUUCAUUUCAUUAAUCAAUCAAUUAAUUAAUUUGAUAAACAUUUUCUCUAUUCUCCUUUUUGAGAAAGGCACUACCAUCCACCUAAUGAUAUGGCUACAAACCUGAAAGUCAUUCGGAAUGCUUUCCUCUCUCUACUUCAACCAAUUAGAUAUCAAUUUCUAUUAAUAUUAUCUCCUCAAGAGACUUAAAUCACUUCCUUUCUCAUUAUCCCUAUGGGCAUUACCUCAUAGAUCAAUUCGUCUUUGUUUUACCCUCAUAUGGUGACAACUGCCUUCUCACCUUGUCUACAGUCAAUUAUUACAGUCUUGUCCCAAUCAAAUUUAUUGUCAAAGUGAGAAUCAGAGUGCCCCCACCAUGUUUUUUUGUUUGGCUUUGUUAUUCUGUGUUUUUUUUUUUUCUUUCUUUGAGACAGAGUUUUACUUUUGUUGCCCAGGCUGGAGUGCAAUGGCGCAAUCUCGGCUCACUGCAACCUCCGCCUCCUGGGUUCAAGCAAUUCUCCUGCCUCAGCCUGCUUAGUAGCUGGGAUUACAGGCGCAUGCCACCAUGCCUGGCUAAUUUUUGUAUUUUUAGUAGAGACGGGGUCUCACCACGUUGGCCAGGCUGGUCUUGAACUCCUGACCUCAUGUAAUCUGCCAGCCUCGGCCUCCCAAAGUGCUGGGUUUACAGGCGUGAGCCACUGCACUGCGCCAGAGUGCCCCUUUUAACAAGUGACUCUGACUUCCAUUCCUAAUAUUGGAUAAUAGCUCCAUAUUUCCUCCAGGGCAAAGCUGAUGUUUCUCUUUAGGGCAUCGCAAAGCCACCCACAGCCUGUCUUCUGCUGAUACCUCAAAUUCAUUUCUUACUAUUUCACCCACUCACACCAUACCCUCCAAAUACUUGGCGGUUUCCAGGACACAGACCCUUUUAAAAUACCCUCACAAUUAUUUUUGGAGAGCUACAUUUUAUCAGAUAUAUUACAGUAAACUCAUAUACCACAUUAAUAAUUUAGAAAUAAGAUUUGAAUGAGA
Molecule: long non-coding RNA, 2301 nt
Organism: Papio anubis (olive baboon)
Lineage: Eukaryota; Metazoa; Chordata; Mammalia; Primates; Cercopithecidae
Source: Ensembl